RNAcentral lists this ribosomal RNA (469 nucleotides) under uncultured bacterium. RNAcentral's name for it is "partial 16S ribosomal RNA". It matches the Rfam family "Bacterial small subunit ribosomal RNA", at positions 28 to 507 of the family's 1533-position model. The record is from RNAcentral.
GACGAACGCUGGCGGCGUGCUUAACACAUGCAAGUCGAACGGAAAGGCCCUGCUUGCAGGGUGCUCGAGUGGCGAACGGGUGAGUAACACGUGGGUGAUCUGCCCCUUAUUUUGGGAUAAGCCUGGGAAACUGGGUCUAAUACUGGAUAGGACCAUGCUGUAGGGGGUGUGGUGGAAAGAUUAGUUUCGGUAAGGGAUGAGCUCGCGGCCUAUCAGCUUGUUGGUGGGGUAAUGGCCUACCAAGGCGUCGACGGGUAGCCGGCCUGAGAGGGUGGACGGCCACAUUGGGACUGAGAUACGGCCCAGACUCCUACGGGAGGCCGCAGUGGGGAAUAUUGCACAAUGGGCGCAUGCCUGAUGCAGCGACGCCGCGUGGGGGCUGACGGCCUUCGGGUUGUAAACUCCUUUCAGCCAUGACGAAGCCCUUGUGGUGACGGUAGUGGUAGAAGAAGCACCGGCUAACUACGUG